Molecule: ribosomal RNA, 101 nt
Filed under: uncultured bacterium
Lineage: Bacteria
Description: partial 16S ribosomal RNA
Rfam family: Archaeal small subunit ribosomal RNA
Source: RNAcentral
CCCCUGCUCCUUGCACACACCGCCCGUCAAACCAUGCGAGUGGGGUCUGAGUGAAGGCACGUUUUUUGGCGUGUUUGAACUUAGGCUCUGCAAGCGGGGUU